This 273-nucleotide ribosomal RNA is filed under the name uncultured bacterium. RNAcentral's name for it is "partial 16S ribosomal RNA". It matches the Rfam family "Bacterial small subunit ribosomal RNA", at positions 80 to 354 of the family's 1533-position model. The record is from RNAcentral.
UUUCUCCGCCGGCGACCGGCGCACGGGUGAGUAACACGUAUGCACCUGCCCUGUCAGGGGGACAACCCGCCGAAAGGCGGGCUAAACCCGCGUACAUGCCACCGGGGCAUCCCGGAGGCAGGAAAGGCUUCGGCCGGACAGGGAUGGGCAUGCGGCGCAUUAGGCAGUAGGCGGGGUAACGGCCCACCUAACCGACGAUGCGUAGGGGUUCUGAGAGGAAGGUCCCCCACACUGGUACUGAGACACGGACCAGACUCCUACGGGAGGCAGCAG